RNAcentral lists this long non-coding RNA (363 nucleotides) under Mus musculus (house mouse). Its description in RNAcentral is "lincRNA-EC198". Lineage: Eukaryota; Metazoa; Chordata; Mammalia; Rodentia; Muridae. The record is from RNAcentral.
AAAAUGCAGCCGCUGCACAGCCAAAGCCGGAACUGUCAGGGAACUGAAGCCCCCUGGCCCUGAACCAAAUCCCGGCACAGGAAAGCCAGGCUGUUUCUUACAGGAAACCCCAUCCAGCGAAUGCCCACUGCUGCCAGUGCCUGUGCGCACCCCGGAGACGCAUCAGACAACCAGCAAAACCAGGCCCAUUGGACUUCACAGAUCUCUCCUGGUGCAGCCGGUUCGGAACCUUGUGGAGUUGGCUGCCUGCCCGAGAAACACAUGUGCAAUCCCACCCUUCCUCAACCAACCUACACACUGAAUGUACAUGCCAACUAGAUGCCACGUGAGUGAUAUACUCAGACAAGAGAGGAUGCUGUCCCU